Scylla paramamosain (green mud crab) is the source of this 895-nucleotide long non-coding RNA. RefSeq lists it as uncharacterized. The record is from RefSeq and is a predicted model, not a curated record. Lineage: Eukaryota; Metazoa; Arthropoda; Malacostraca; Decapoda; Portunidae. The transcript has 3 exons.
AACCACUUAUUGUCUUUAAAGGGAGAGGUGAGGUGAGGCUCUGAACGAGGUGUCAGAGGCAUCAGAUACUGUAUUAGUCCCUAGAGGGAGAAGGAGAGGCCGCCGCCACGGCGGUGCCCUGCCACAGUGAAGAUUUGGUUCGCUAAUUGACGCCGACGGUGGUGUGAGGGGGUCUAUUGGUUCAGUCAUACAGAUAGCAAUUGCUCUGACUUGCAAGUUACUGUGUCGUCUGUGCUGUGGUAACACUUAGUGAGGUGUUGUGUAGGGUAGUAUGUGUGUGUGUGUGUGUGUGUGUGUUUGUUUACAGCAGAGUAAGGCUACUGGUGCACUCGCUCCCAGCCAUGACGUGCCUAUGACGUAUGUGUGACGCUUGUGUCUGGCCAAUGCUAACACGGCACGUCACGCUGUUGGCAGCAGGGAAACACAAGGUUUACUUCAGAUUUGUCCUAGGUGUCACGGAGGGAGGGUGGAGUGUGAAUGAUAUUAAUGGGUUUAUUUUCCUGUAAUAUUACGUUUCCAAGGCAUUACAGUAGUACAGUUUGUGUUCAUACGGAUUAUUAGUGCAGUGUGCACAGCGUCUGCAGUCCGGCAAGCCUUGCAAGUACUUGUAUCUGAUAAGGUGUUUCUAGACUGAUGUGUGCAGAGAAGAGUGGGAUGAGGAAAAAUAAAGGAGGAUGAAGAAGAAGAAGGGGGAAAGAAUGGAGGAGGAGGAGAAGAAAACAAGGAAAUGUUAAGAAGACAAUAUUUGUCUUCAUUUUCCACGGUUUUCCAGUCUGUAUUACCUCACCUCUCCGGGGAAGGCAACACACAUCGAGACUCGCUGCCAGAUGGCCUGAGGGAGAAUUGCGAAGGUUAGUGAAGCAAUACACAAUACAUGCCGUGGCCUCUCAGCUUC